RNAcentral lists this ribosomal RNA (247 nucleotides) under uncultured bacterium. RNAcentral describes it as "partial 16S ribosomal RNA". It matches the Rfam family "Bacterial small subunit ribosomal RNA", at positions 523 to 769 of the family's 1533-position model. The record is from RNAcentral.
AUACGUAGGUGGCAAGCGUUAUCCGGAUUUACUGGGUGUAAAGGGCGUGUAGGCGGGACAGCAAGUCAGAUGUGAAAAUUAUGGGCUCAACCCAUAACCUGCAUUUGAAACUGUGGUUCUUGAGUGACGGAGAGGCAGGCGGAAUUCCGUGUGUAGCGGUGAAAUGCGUAGAUAUGCGGAGGAACACCAGUGGCGAAGGCGGCCUGCUGGACAUUAACUGACGCUGAGGCGCGAAAGCGUGGGGAGC